Molecule: ribosomal RNA, 427 nt
Filed under: uncultured Bacteroidales bacterium
Lineage: Bacteria; Pseudomonadati; Bacteroidota; Bacteroidia; Bacteroidales
Description: bacterial SSU rRNA
Rfam family: Bacterial small subunit ribosomal RNA
Source: RNAcentral
GGCGACCGGCGAAUGGGUGAGUAACACGUAUGCAACUUACCUCUUAGUGGUGAAUAACUCGAUGAAAGUCGGACUAAUACACCAUACUCUCCUUAGAUCACAUGAGAAGAGGAGGAAAGAUUAAUCGCUAAGAGAUAGGCCUGCGUUCCAUUAGCUAGUUGGUAAGGUAACGGCUUACCAAGGCAACGAUGGAUAGGGGGACUGAGAGGUUGACCCCCCACAUUGACACUGAGAUACGGGUCAAACUCCUACGGGAGGCAGCAGUGAGGAAUAUUGGUCAAUGGGCGAGAGCCUGAACCAGCCAAGUCGCGUGAAGGAAGACUGCCCGCAAGGGUUGUAAACUUCUUUUGUAUGGGAUUAAAGUCGUCUACGUGUAGACGUUUGCAGUUACCAUACGAAUAAGCAUCGGCUAACUCCGUGCCAGCAG